AGUGGCGGACGGGUGAGUAACGCGUGAGAAUCUGCCUUGGGGUCGGGGACAACCACUGGAAACGGUGGCUAAUACCGGAUAAGCCGAUUGGUGAAAGAUUUAUUGCCCGAAGAGGAGCUCGCGUCUGAUUACCUAGUUGGUGAGGUAAGAGCUCACCAAGGCAGCGAUCAGUAGCUGGUCUGAGAGGACGAUCAGCCACACUGGGACUGAGACACGGCCCAGACUCCUACGGGAGGCAGCAGUGGGGAAUUUUCCGCAAUGGGCGAAAGCCUGACGGAGCAAGACCGCGUGAGGGAGGAAGGCUCUUGGGUUGUAAACCUCUUUUCUCAGGGAAGAAGCUCUGACGGUACCUGAGGAAUCAGCCUCGGCUAACUCCGUGCCAGCAGCCGCGGUAAUACGGAGGAGGCAAGCGUUAUCCGGAAUUAUUGGGCGUAAAGCGUCCGCAGGUGGCGAUUCAAGUCUGCUGUCAAAGCACGGGGCUUAACUCCGUAAAGGCAGUGGAAACUGAAUAGCUAGAGUGCCGUAGGGGUAGAGGGAAUUCCCGGUGUAGCGGUGAAAUGCGUAGAGAUCGGGAAGAACAUCGGUGGCGAAAGCGCUCUACUGGACGGCAACUGACACUCAGGGACGAAAGCUAGGGGAGCGAAUGGGAUUAGAUACCCC
Molecule: ribosomal RNA, 660 nt
Filed under: uncultured bacterium
Lineage: Bacteria
Description: bacterial SSU rRNA
Rfam family: Bacterial small subunit ribosomal RNA
Source: RNAcentral